Molecule: ribosomal RNA, 253 nt
Filed under: uncultured bacterium
Lineage: Bacteria
Description: partial 16S ribosomal RNA
Rfam family: Bacterial small subunit ribosomal RNA
Source: RNAcentral
UACGAAGGGGGCUAGCGUUGCUCGGAAUCACUGGGCGUAAAGGGCGCGUAGGUGGCCCGACAAGUCAAUGGUGAAAGCUCGACGCUCAACGUCGAGUCGGCCACUGAUACUGUUGGGCUGGAGCACUGUAGAGGCUCAUGGAAUUCCGGGUGUAGCGGUGGAAUGCGUAGAGAUCCGGAAGAACACCGGUGGCGAAGGCGGUGAGCUGGGCAGUAACUGACGCUGAGGAGCGAAAGCGUGGGGAGCGAACAGG